GCUCUUUGGUACGCUGAGGCUGAUGUGAUUGCCCAGACUCGUGUCCUGCAUGGAAUUUAAACUACUUUUGUAACAGCAAAAGGAAUUUACUGACUUCCUCUCAGAUUGAAAGCAGAAAUGACCACUCGCAUCAAAUUAUUUACUUCGAUUUGUAGCUUAUUUAAAAUGAGAUCCCAUUCUUCCAGUCUGUGGCAUUGUCCCAAACUGCCCUAUCAAAGGUUCUAAAAUAUGCUUAGGGCAUCUCUAUUAAGAGGAUGAGGAGAAAGGAGGAGGGAGAAGAUGCUAACAACUAAAUGGUUCAAUAUGAUGCAGUAUUUCCAAUGGCGGGAGACAGAAACAAUGUCACAAAGUGGGAGAGGCACUAAGAAUGAGAUCUGGCACCACUUACUCUUGUUUCUAUACAAUCGAAGUACAACACUUCUCAAUUUUCUAGGUGUCUUUGGGGAGAGAUCUUAUCUCUCUUAAUGGUACCAACUCAGUAACCCAAACUGUUCACCAAUACUUCUUUUAAGUAGUUGUGAGGUAGGGAGUCUAACACUUCCCAAGAGAUCCUGUUAGUACAUUAUAGCAACUAUAGGGAAUGUUUUACAAAUGACUGUCAUUAUAAUGUUAAAUCUAACAUAUAUGCCAACCCCCUUAGUUUAUACAAUAACUUUCCUCCAAAAAUCUUAAUUAAAAAUAAAAUAUAGCUGACUUCGUUAUAAAGAGA
Molecule: long non-coding RNA, 709 nt
Organism: Pan troglodytes (chimpanzee)
Lineage: Eukaryota; Metazoa; Chordata; Mammalia; Primates; Hominidae
Exons: 3
Source: RefSeq, a predicted model, not a curated record